CUCCAGAACACUUAUUUUCAUCUCCUUAUAAAAUCUCCCGGUUUCGAGCUUCUCAGGCUACCAGAAAUCUCAUGAACGGAACCGAUUCCUUCGGUGGUGCCCAUUAAAGGCGUGGAGACGAGUCAACAGCUCCAGUCCCCUCUAAGUCCCCUGAUACGGCCUGCCAACCACUCCGACUCAGCAAUCGAAUUCUGCCUAUGUAGCUACCCUCGUGGUACGACUAUACCCAACCAGAUCCCGACUAAUCGAAAGAUCGCAAUCCGCCGGAAUCCAACCCCGUAAAAUGAACAAAAUUGUCAAGCCGCCUCUGGUCCAAUUCAACCUAAAGUAGAUAGCUUUUUGCGGUGGAGUUUUGUCCACAAAUGCAGGCCACGCGAUUUGUACUUCGUCCUUCGAUUUAAACCGGAAACGUUAACCGGGUGUGAUUGCAAGCAGAUCUUUCCCCUUCACAAAUUAACAUGAACGAGCAGAAGCCCGCGGCAACGACCUGGGUGGUGGCCACGGCUUCCCUCCAGCAAAGCCUUACCAUGGCCUGGUCCCUCACGAAUCUAAUUAACACAAACUGAUACAAGGACCAGCUGAAAAAGAAAAAGCUGGGUAACGGGAUCGUUGGCAAGAGGAAAAU
This is a long non-coding RNA of Culex quinquefasciatus (southern house mosquito), 625 nucleotides long. RefSeq lists it as uncharacterized. The record is from RefSeq and is a predicted model, not a curated record. Lineage: Eukaryota; Metazoa; Arthropoda; Insecta; Diptera; Culicidae. The transcript is spliced from 3 exons.